UGCUCGUUUGAAUGAUAGGAUCUCAAGACGGGGAAGAAGAUUGGUACAGGGCAAGAAGAUGGUGGUCUGUAUUACCUUGAUGUCAAACAAUCACCCACUCGAGCCCUCACAUCCUCAUCAUCAUCUGCUUUUGAAUGGCAUUGCCGCCUUGGACACCCCUCUCUCUCUCUUUUGAAACGUCAAGUUAGGAAUCUUGGAAAUGUGUCUUCUUUCCUUGUGAAGCAUGUCAACUUAGCAAACACCAUCGUGUGUCUUUUGUACCUCAAGUUGAUAAUCAAGCAUCUAGUCUUUUUGAAUCGGUUCACUCUUAUAUGGG
Molecule: long non-coding RNA, 316 nt
Organism: Juglans microcarpa x Juglans regia
Lineage: Eukaryota; Viridiplantae; Streptophyta; Magnoliopsida; Fagales; Juglandaceae
Exons: 3
Source: RefSeq, a predicted model, not a curated record